This is a small nucleolar RNA of Hibiscus syriacus, 84 nucleotides long. RefSeq annotates it as small nucleolar RNA R16. NCBI's taxonomy places the organism in Eukaryota, Viridiplantae, Streptophyta, Magnoliopsida, Malvales, Malvaceae. The transcript has a single exon. The record is from RefSeq and is a predicted model, not a curated record.
GAAGGCAAAUGAUGUAAAAGCUCUUGCUUAUAUUCUGAAAUAUGAAUGUAGACUAACAAACCCAGCUUAUUAUCUGAUGCCUUU